UCGAGAAUCUUCGGCAAUGGGGGCAACCCUGACCGAGCGACGCCGCGUGAGCGAUGAAGGCCUUCGGGUUGUAAAGCUCUUUAGGGGGGGAGAAAAGCCGAAAGGUGUGAUCUAUCCCCAAAAUAAGCACGGGCUAAGUUCGUGCCAGCAGCCGCGGUAAGACGAACCGUGCGAACGUUGUUCGGAAUCACUGGGCUUAAAGGGCGCGUAGGCGGGCUGUCAAGUCUGGGGUGAAAUGUCGCGGCUCAA
This 249-nucleotide ribosomal RNA is filed under the name uncultured Gemmata sp. RNAcentral's name for it is "partial 16S ribosomal RNA". It matches the Rfam family "Bacterial small subunit ribosomal RNA", at positions 355 to 612 of the family's 1533-position model. Lineage: Bacteria; Pseudomonadati; Planctomycetota; Planctomycetia; Gemmatales; Gemmataceae. The record is from RNAcentral.